This 65-nucleotide transfer RNA is filed under the name Rena humilis (western threadsnake). RNAcentral describes it as "Phe-tRNA". Lineage: Eukaryota; Metazoa; Chordata; Lepidosauria; Squamata; Leptotyphlopidae. The record is from RNAcentral.
GUUUAUUGUAGCUUAAAAUUAAAGCAUGGCACUGAAGCCGCCAAAACGGCGCAAGCCCAAAAACA